Regulatory RNA element from Camelus ferus (Wild Bactrian camel), 41 nucleotides. It matches the Rfam family "MAT2A 3'UTR stem loop D". NCBI's taxonomy places the organism in Eukaryota, Metazoa, Chordata, Mammalia, Artiodactyla, Camelidae. The record is from Rfam.
UCUGGGGUAUGGCGUAAGUACAGAGAAGCCAUCACCUCAGA